Molecule: ribosomal RNA, 441 nt
Filed under: Triticum aestivum (bread wheat)
Lineage: Eukaryota; Viridiplantae; Streptophyta; Magnoliopsida; Poales; Poaceae
Description: partial small subunit ribosomal RNA
Source: RNAcentral
AUGGCUACAAAAAACUCUGCUGUCUUCCUCCUCGGGCUUCUUCUCUCUUGCGUUGCCAUGAGCAGCGCGGCGAGAAUCCUAGAAGAGACCGUUCCUUCCAAGGAGGAGCACCAGCCCGAGGUGCCACCGCUUCCCAAGGUAGAACUGCCACCGUUCCCGGAAGUGCACCUGCCACCUAAGCCUGAACUUCCCAAGGUGGAGCUGCCGCCGCUCCCCAAAGUGCACUUGCCAUCUAAGCCUGAGUUGCCCAAGGUGGAGCUGCCACCUAAGCCGGAGCUGCCCAAGGUGGAGCUGCCAACGUUUCCGGAGGUUCACCUGCCACCCAAGCCGGAGAUGCCCACUGUUCCCGGGUUCCACCUCCCGGAGCCGGAGCUGCCGCCGAAACCCAAGAUGCCCACUGUUCCCGGGUUCCACCUCCCUGAGCUAGAGGCCAAUCCAUGA